RNAcentral lists this transfer RNA (67 nucleotides) under Encyrtus infelix. Its description in RNAcentral is "tRNA-Gln". Lineage: Eukaryota; Metazoa; Arthropoda; Insecta; Hymenoptera; Encyrtidae. The record is from RNAcentral.
UACAUUUAGUUGUAUUAGCAUGUAAAUUUUUGAAGUUUAAGGUAAUAAUUGAUUUUGUUAAAUGUAU